RNAcentral lists this long non-coding RNA (736 nucleotides) under Phoenix dactylifera (date palm). RNAcentral describes it as "long non-coding RNA (PDAC_LNC011601)". Lineage: Eukaryota; Viridiplantae; Streptophyta; Magnoliopsida; Arecales; Arecaceae. The record is from RNAcentral.
GGACAUAAAAUGGGCCGCAAGGCCAUGCGAGCAGGGGUUCACAUGGCCCGUGCGUGAGAGAGGGAGAAGUCGGACUCCGAGCAGGAGUCCUCCUCUCCUCCGACCGUCGGAGGAGACGGAAGGAGUCCUAAUCCUUCCACGAUUGAGCCGGGCUCCUCUAUUAAGAGAGCCCUCACCCCCAUCGAGCGCCACCGCUCCUCUUUCCUCCUCUUUUCUCCCUUCAAUGUCACAGCAUCCCGUCACUGUGCUCGCCGGAGAACGAGGCUGCCGGACGUUGCCGGUGUUGAGGUAAGUCCCUAGACUUCUUCUCCUUUCCUUCCUAUUCUUCCCAUAACUUGGAAUCGCAGCCGCCGGCUGUGUAAUCGGCCGGAAAUCGACCGAAAUAAGGAACCCAUGUUUCUGCCCCUGUUUGAUUUCCUCUUUUCUUUUUCUUCCGGCCGCCUCCGCCGCUGGUGUUCACCGAGACCUUUGCCCCCAUCAUCGAGUUGGCCCCUAGCAGAUGCCGGACCCCUAGCCACCGGCGAGUGGGCUGAAAUCCGAGGACAACCGAGCCCAAAACUUUCCUAUUCGGCCCUGUUUUGGGUUGGAUUCGGCCAGCCGGCCACCGCCGCCGGCUGCCUUCUGCUGCCCGCCGCCGCUGCCUCGCCGGACCACCAUGGCCAACCAUCAGUCCACCCUCUGCCUUCCCCUUGUUUACCAAGAAAGAAGAAACAAAGAAAAAGAAGAGAAGAAGAAU